AGCGGCGGACGGGUGAGUAACGCGUGGGCAACCUGCCUUUCACAGAGGGAUAGCCAAAGGAAACUUUGAUUAAAACCUCAUAAAGCCGGAAUAGUGCAUAAUAUACUGGCCAAAGAUUUAUCGGUGAAAGAUGGGCCCGCGUCUGAUUAGCUAGUUGGUGGGGUAACGGCUCACCAAGGCAACGAUCAGUAGCCGACCUGAGAGGGUGAUCGGCCACAUUGGAACUGAGACACGGUCCAAACUCCUACGGGAGGCAGCAGUGGGGAAUAUUGCACAAUGGGCGCAAGCCUGAUGCAGCAACGCCGCGUGAACGAAGAAGGCCUUCGGGUCGUAAAGUUCUGUCCAUAGGGAAGAAACAAAUGACGGUACCUAUGGAGGAAGCCCCGGCUAAAUACGUGCCAGCAGCCGCGGUAAUACGUAUGGGGCAAGCGUUAUCCGGAAUUAUUGGGCGUAAAGAGUGCGUAGGUGGUGGCUUAAGCGCAGGGUUUAAGGCAAUGGCUUAACUAUUGUUCGCCUUGCGAACUGGGUCACUUGAGUACAGGAGAGGAAAGCGGAAUUCCUAGUGUAGCGGUGAAAUGCAUAGAUAUUAGGAGGAACACCGGUGGCGAAGGCGGCUUUCUGGACUGCAACUGACACUGAGGCACGAAAGCGUGGGUAGCAAACAGGAUUAGAUACCCUGGUAGUCCACGCCGUAAACGAUGAGCACUAGGUGUCGGCCACUAAAGGUCGGUGCCGCAGUUAACGCAUUAAGUGCUCCGCCUGGGGAGUACGCACGCAAGUGUAAAACUCAAAGGAAUUGACGGGGACCCGCACAAGCAGCGGAGCAUGUGGUUUAAUUCGAAGCAACGCGAAGAACCUUACCAGAGCUUGACAUCCCUCUGACAGAUCCUUAAUCGGAUUCUUCUUCGGACAGAGGAGACAGGUGGUGCAUGGUUGUCGUCAGCUCGUGUCGUGAGAUGUUGGGUUAAGUCCCGCAACGAGCGCAACCCUUAUCAUUAGUUGCCAUCAUUAGGUUGGGCACUCUAGUGAGACUGCCGGGGACAACUCGGAGGAAGGUGGGGACGACGUCAAAUCAUCGUGCCCCUUAUGUUCUGGGCUACACACGUGCUACAAUGGUCGGUACAGAAAGCAGCGAAACCGUGAGGUGAAGCCAAUCUCCAAAACCGAUCUCAGUUCGGAUUGUAGGCUGCAACUCGCCUACAUGAAGUCGGAGUUGCUAGUAAUCGCAGAUCAGAAUGCUGCGGUGAAUGCGUUCCCGGGUCUUGUACACACCGCCCGUCACAACAUGGAAGUGGGGGGUGCCCGAAGU
Molecule: ribosomal RNA, 1309 nt
Filed under: uncultured Bacillota bacterium
Lineage: Bacteria; Bacillati; Bacillota
Description: uncultured Firmicutes bacterium 16S ribosomal RNA
Rfam family: Bacterial small subunit ribosomal RNA
Source: RNAcentral